UUCGAAAUGUAUAUAAUCAUUGCUUUUUUCCCCCCUCUCUCCGCACGUUUCGCAGUCAUGUGCCAACGGCGCCCCCUGUGGAGAGACACAGUACGUCAGCGUCAGCAUCAGGGCUCGCGUGACCUGGAUUUAAUUCACCCACCAGCGCGUCGGCAGAGAUUUGCCUGGAACCAGGAAUUCUUACAAGCUACUAAAGAUUUGAGCAUAAUUUAUUACAACAACAGCGGGGAGAACACAACGAGGUGGCUCCAGAACACGAGAACCCUUUAGACAUGUGGAAACUGUAGCUCAGGUCAUUACAUUAUUAAAGACUCGUAAACUAAAGCCAAGCAUACAAUCAAAGCAUUCCUGUCAUGCUUGUAAAUGCAGAGCACAAAUUUGUAUGUGUGUGUAUGUGUGUGUGUGAGUGUGAGGUGGUUGACUUUACUGCGCACCUUUUGAGGACUUCAGCAAGAGUAUGUUCUCACUGAUGCUGACUCGCCCCUUGGAGAAACUGCAGAGAAAGAGAAGAAGAGAGUCACGGACGGAGUGGAUAUGGCAGAGGCGCGGAAGUUAGCAGGCAGCGUCUCUGAAGAAUCUGAGGUCACUCCUCUCAGGUCCUUCUCACGGAACAUCUUCCUCCAGGACGGAGAGCGAGUGAACGUCUUGGUGCCGUCCUGAGAGAGAGAA
Molecule: long non-coding RNA, 669 nt
Organism: Tachysurus vachellii
Lineage: Eukaryota; Metazoa; Chordata; Actinopteri; Siluriformes; Bagridae
Exons: 2
Source: RefSeq, a predicted model, not a curated record